This 1472-nucleotide ribosomal RNA is filed under the name metagenome. RNAcentral's name for it is "bacterial SSU rRNA". It matches the Rfam family "Bacterial small subunit ribosomal RNA". The record is from RNAcentral.
AGAGUUUGAUCCUGGCUCAGGACGAACGCUGGCGGCGCGCCUAACACAUGCAAGUCGAACGAGCGAGAGAGAGCUUGCUUUCUCAAGCGAGUGGCGAACGGGUGAGUAACGCGUGAGGAACCUGCCUCAAAGAGGGGGACAACAGUUGGAAACGACUGCUAAUACCGCAUAAGCCCACGGCUCGGCAUCGAGCAGAGGGAAAAGGAGCAAUCCGCUUUGAGAUGGCCUCGCGUCCGAUUAGCUAGUUGGUGAGGUAACGGCCCACCAAGGCGACGAUCGGUAGCCGGACUGAGAGGUUGAUCGGCCACAUUGGGACUGAGACACGGCCCAGACUCCUACGGGAGGCAGCAGUGGGGAAUAUUGCACAAUGGAGGAAACUCUGAUGCAGCGAUGCCGCGUGAGGGAAGAAGGUUUUAGGAUUGUAAACCUCUGUCUUCAGGGACGAAAAAAGACGGUACCUGAGGAGGAAGCUCCGGCUAACUACGUGCCAGCAGCCGCGGUAAUACGUAGGGAGCGAGCGUUGUCCGGAAUUACUGGGUGUAAAGGGAGCGUAGGCGGGAUCGCAAGUCAGAUGUGAAAACUAUGGGCUUAACCCAUAAACUGCAUUUGAAACUGUGGUUCUUGAGUGAAGUAGAGGUAAGCGGAAUUCCUAGUGUAGCGGUGAAAUGCGUAGAUAUUAGGAGGAACAUCAGUGGCGAAGGCGGCUUACUGGGCUUUAACUGACGCUGAGGCUCGAAAGCGUGGGGAGCAAACAGGAUUAGAUACCCUGGUAGUCCACGCCGUAAACGAUGAUUACUAGGUGUGGGGGGACUGACCCCUUCCGUGCCGCAGCAAACGCAAUAAGUAAUCCACCUGGGGAGUACGACCGCAAGGUUGAAACUCAAAGGAAUUGACGGGGGCCCGCACAAGCAGUGGAGUAUGUGGAUUAAUUCGAAGCAACGCGAAGAACCUUACCAGGCCUUGACAUCGUAUGCAUAGCUCAGAGAUGAGUGAAAUCUCUUCGGAGACAUAUAGACAGGUGGUGCAUGGUUGUCGUCAGCUCGUGUCGUGAGAUGUUGGGUUAAGUCCCGCAACGAGCGCAACCCUUACUGUUAGUUGCUACGCAAGAGCACUCUAGCAGGACUGCCGUUGACAAAACGGAGGAAGGUGGGGAUGACGUCAAACCAUCAUGCCCCUUAUGACCUGGGCCUCACACGUACUACAAUGGCUGUCAACAGAGGGAAGCAAAGCCGCGAGGUGGAGCGAACCCCUAAAAGCAGUCUUAGUUCGGAUUGUAGGCUGCAACCCGCCUACAUGAAGUCGGAAUUGCUAGUAAUCGCAGAUCAGCAUGCUGCGGUGAAUACGUUCCCGGGCCUUGUACACACCGCCCGUCACGCCAUGGGAGUCGGUAACACCCGAAGCCUGUAGUCUAACCGCAAGGAGGACGCAGUCGAAGGUGGGAUUGAUGACUGGGGUGAAGUCGUAACAAGGUA